GGGGAUGUGGUCUAGUGGUAUGACGUUUCCUUAGCAUGCGACGAUAGCUUCAUUGCUAUCCCGAGCAUGGAAAAGGUUCUGGGUUCGAUUCCCAGCCUCUCCA
Truncatella angustata is the source of this 103-nucleotide non-coding RNA. The record is from the annotation of a RefSeq genome assembly. NCBI's taxonomy places the organism in Eukaryota, Fungi, Ascomycota, Sordariomycetes, Amphisphaeriales, Sporocadaceae.